This 253-nucleotide ribosomal RNA is filed under the name uncultured bacterium. RNAcentral's name for it is "partial 16S ribosomal RNA". It matches the Rfam family "Bacterial small subunit ribosomal RNA", at positions 524 to 776 of the family's 1533-position model. The record is from RNAcentral.
UACGUAGGGUGCGAGCGUUAAUCGGAAUUACUGGGCGUAAAGCGUGCGCAGGCGGUGAUGUAAGACAGAUGUGAAAUCCCCGGGCUCAACCUGGGAACUGCAUUUGUGACUGCAUCGCUGGAGUGCGGCAGAGGGGGAUGGAAUUCCGCGUGUAGCAGUGAAAUGCGUAGAUAUGCGGAGGAACACCGAUGGCGAAGGCAAUCCCCUGGGCCUGCACUGACGCUCCUGCACGAAAGCGUGGGGAGCAAACAGG